Molecule: long non-coding RNA, 377 nt
Organism: Oncorhynchus tshawytscha (Chinook salmon)
Lineage: Eukaryota; Metazoa; Chordata; Actinopteri; Salmoniformes; Salmonidae
Source: Ensembl
UGUCCCCCUGUCAGUCUACUGUAUAGGUUAGGGGUGUCCCUGUCAGUCUACUGUAUAGGUUAGGGGUUAUGGUUAGAGGUGUCCCUGUCAGUCUACUGUAUAGGUUAGGGCUUAUGGUUAGAGGUGUCCCCUGUCAGUCUACUGUAUAGGUUAGAGGUUAUGGUUAGAGGUGUCCCUGUCAGUCUACUGUAUAGGUUAGAGGUGUCCCUGUCAGUCUACUGUAUAGGUUAGGGGUUAUGGUUAGAGGUGUCCCCUGUCAGUCUACUAUAUAGGUUAGGGGUUAAGGUUAGAGGUGUCCCUGUCAGUCUACUGUAUAGGUUAGGGGUUAUGGUUAGAGGUGUCCCCUGUCAGUCUACUGUAUAGGUUAGGGGUUAUGG